This 7627-nucleotide long non-coding RNA is filed under the name Vitis vinifera (wine grape). RNAcentral's name for it is "long non-coding RNA (VVIN_LNC005532)". The record is from RNAcentral. Lineage: Eukaryota; Viridiplantae; Streptophyta; Magnoliopsida; Vitales; Vitaceae.
UCUGUUCAUCACAGAUACCAUUAGUUUGCCUACUCGAAGCAUGGUGACACAUUCAUCUAUCUUCAAUAUAUCCUUCUCCAUACAACACGGCUUUAGUUUAAAUGCGGUAAAACGAUGAAAAUGAUGCCGAGUGUGACACAAUAUGCAAAUCUACCUGUGCUCAAACCGCCUGAUAAUCGCCUCAUCAAGGUCAAAUGGCCUGUUGGUUGCAGCAAGAACGAGGACUCGUUCACCAGCUUUUGUCAGUAGUCCAUCCCAAUGUGUCAUGAACUCAUUCUUAAUCUGUCGCAUAGCAUAAUGCUCUCCAACUUCGGUCCGCUGCCCAAGCAAACUGUCAGCCUCAUCCACAAAAAUAAUAGUUGGGGAGAUCUUUGCUGCGAGUGUGAACAGAGCUCGAACAUUCUUCUCAACUUCACCAAACCAUUUUGAAGUGACGGUGGACAUUGAGACAUUGAUGAAGCGUGCUCCAGCUUCAUUGGCAAUGGCCUUUGCCAGCAUAGUUUUUCCAUUACCAGGAGGUCCGAAGAGUAAUAUCCCCCUGCAAGGCUUCAGAAGCCCACCCUUGAAGAGGUCUGGCCUCUGAAGAGGGAGCAUAACCAGCUCCUGAAGAGAUUCUUUAAUGUCAUCCAAGGCACCAAUGUCCUCAAAUGCCACUCCUAUCUGAUUUGCUGGGAUAACCUCUGGCCUUAUACGCCUCUCAAAUUCAUUGUAAGGUGGAACCAACUGUAGCGAAACAAUUAAAAGAGUAAGGGAAUAUCGGAAAAUUUUCUUAGUAAAAUUUUCUUCAACAAAAAGGGGAAAACAAAUGCAAGGGAACCUCCUUACAGUAUGCACCAAAGAAAUCUACAAAAUCUGCAUCAUCUUCUCUUUACUUUGUUGUUUAACUUUCAGAAGAAAGUGGCAUUUGGGACAUGCCAAGCAUCUCAAAGAAAUCUUGUGGGUGAAUACCCACAAGAUCCAGUAGGAAACAGAAGCAGCAUACAAAUAAAACACAUUGAUACAGUUAAGACUCAAGUCAAUGUCAAGGUGAAAAACAAACCUUAGAAGAUUCAGCAUUUGUCUUUCGUGUGUCUUCCUUGAAUAUACUCAAUCCAUGGGACAAACUGUACCAGGGCCACAAUUGUAGUUAUAUAGAACUUUGUCUACAAUAAGAAGCUAAAAGACACAAGCAUGCAAGCAAUUGUAUCUACCUCUUGGAAGAUAUGACAAGCUUUCCAUUUCGGUAUUCUGGAUUUUUGUUAUGCAUCAAAUGAUAAGAUAGUGCAGAUAUUACAAUCUCUUCUAUGUGGUCACUUAGAAUCAUGGAGUCUGCAUGGCAGAUUGAACCCAAAUUAUCACAGCCAAUAUCAUUUGCUGCAAGCACCUCAGCAAUAUGAUUUUUGUUUUCCUGAAACUGGAUCAUCUCUCUCUCCUUUUCCAGUUGGGCUUCCCAGAUAUCAAGACAAGUCUCAUCCUCGGGCUCCUUGAUUUCAAUAUUGUAAGGGAAUAAGAGACUCACCCUUUCAUCCAUUUCUUCGUCCUCGUCAUCAGGGUCUAGCAUGCGGGAACCAAGUAUCAGAACUGAUCCUGAUAAUCUACCCAACAUUUUCUGGAACAAUUUGUAUAAUCUUUCUGAUUGGAGAAGAAGCUUCUCGACAUCCCUGAGGUAUAAAAUAAUGGGACAUGUUUCUGAUACUGAAUCCAAGACCUGUUAGUAAUAUAACACAUCAUCAAAACAAGAUCAAGCAUGAAUGUGAUAGCUAGGACUCUCAGACUUAGAACAGAAAACCGAUUCCUCAUAGAUUACCUUGUAAAGUGACUGCAAAAGUUGCUUCUCAUCAAAAGCCCAGUUGCUUGUGCGCUUGAAAUGAGCUACAAAAGAAAUGAGCAGCAGUAAGAAUAACAUCUACUUCCAGAGAAGAAAUGUCAAAAAGACAGUGAUCAAAGGAAUAAGAGGGACAAAACAAAUUCUCUCGGAACAUGAAUUCAUAGCAUCCGAUGUUCUCUUCUUAGGACAAAACUAGUAACCUGAACUUGUAGUAACACGUUGAGAAGCAACAGUGUUCUUUGUAUUAGAUGGAGUAGAAGCAUUGCUACCAUGCUUUGGAGGAUUCAUACAUCUGCAAAUGUGUAUAGGUGUAGGUUUAGAAGUAAUGCAUGAGAGACUUAAUACCUAAAUAGACAAUUAACCAUUGAAGCCCAAUUGUUUGGGGCCAGUAGAACUAAUUAAGAGUACAAGUGGCCUACCAUACCUUGAUUUAAUAUGGGCACCACUGCUUUGCCUAGACAAUGUGCCUGCAUUAGAAGUCCUGACCCGAGCUAAGUUGCGGAUAAAAUAAAAUCAACAAAAAGUUAAAAAGAACAAGACAGCAAAGAAAAUCAGAAGGCGUGAGUUGAAGUUGGUUCAAAGAAUGUAAUGUCUGGAUCAACUAAGAUGGUGUAGUAUAUCAAGACUAAUGAUCAAUGCUAACAACAAAAUUAAGCAUCUUUAAGAGCAUAGUUAUUCCUCCUCUCCCUAAUAACAAAAUAUUAUGAACUCUAUGGAAAUUGUUAGGGCUUUAGCACCAAGUGUAAAAUAUUGACACGACAUACACAUUAAACUAGCUUUGGGAUCAAUUGGUCACCUAACAUGGCAUUAGAACCUUUGGUUUCCAAGAGGUUAUUAUUGUAACCACUCUUUAUUUCUCCAUUUAUUAAGCCUAUGUGCAAAACUAAAAAAGACUGCCUAGGACGUAAGAGGUAUCAUAGAUUAACCCAAAUAUAAGUUGGCAUGAAAUACAUAGUUGGCACGUUACCUAAUAGUUUAAACAUUUAGGUCAAUUGGUAGUGCCAUGAUUUAUGGAAGGUUUUGGAUCAGGUUUUGACAAUUUCAUUUGAAAACUAAUUGAUGGUCACUAGGGUAGGUCAAAUCUUUUAUGACAUUCGACAUCACAUCCUAUGGGCUUAUUCUAAGAGUCAUCAUUUAGGUGACUCAUUUUCAAGCUUAAGAGUGACAUUGUUACACCCCAACAAUCCCUCCCUCAACAUGACACUCUUGUAACUCGAAUUCAUGACCCUGACUCUGACUCUGAUAUCAAUUUUUGGAUAGAACUUUUGACUAUCUCAUCUGAAAACCAAUUAGUGGUCAAUGAAAGUAGGUCAAACCUUUGAUGAUAUUUAACAUCACACCCUAUGGGUCUAUUUUAAGAUUCAUCAUUUGGGUGUUUCAUCCUUGAACUUAAGAGUAACAUUGUUGCACCCCGAUAGAAGAUAAUAUGUUUGAACCUUGCCAAUGUUUAUUUCUUCAUUAAUUAGGCCCAAUUGCAAGCCCAAUAAAGAAUUCAGGUGACAGGGUAGUAAGGUCUUUAGCCUAAGUUUAAGUUGGCACUAGUACACGUAGUUUGCCGAAAAGCUUUAGCUUUGAGGUCAAUUGCUAGCCACAAAAAGUUAAAACACUAAAAGAAAAAUCACUAGGCACUCUACAAACCACAAGUUAUACAACUUGAUUCUUAUGAACAUUAAGGAGUUGGUAUUCUGUUGAUAGUACCUUUGGUUUCUUCUUCUUCACUCUGGAGAAGGAUUGAGAAAGAGCCAAGAAAACCAGACAUCGGCCCCAGUGUCACCUCUGAGAUGGACUUCUUGGAAGACUACAAAAAGAAAACUAAAUGAGAGCGGAAAUCUUCUUGGAUGGAAAGGCAUUUUUAUUCACCAAGAAAAGAAACAUGCUUACAGAUUCUCUUUUGGGGCUUCCAUAUUUGCUCUGCAUCUGAGAAAUGACAAUCAUAGCAGCAAGAUUUAGCGAUAUAUACAGUAUGAAAAGCUAAAUUUAAGGAAGAUUGAGUCUCUACAUAUUAAUUUCACCUUCAGAGAAAAGUCAUUAAGGUCCAACAGCAGCAACUUUGCUUGGAAGAAAUGAGCUAGAGCUUUGGCGAGUGUUUGCUGGUACAGUUCUGCAAAGGCAACCAAGUUAAUUAGGCCAUUGAAAGGACUCAGAACCAUAGUUAAAUAUCCAAAUGCAGGGUCAGAUCACAUAGUCCAGACGGCAUACCAGCAGGUCCUGAGAGCAAAAUAGCUCUGCUUGCAGGCGUAAGGUUUCGGGUGUGCUUAGAAAAGUCAGACUGCCUUAGAUGGAAAUGUGCAGCACUUGUCAGUAACACUCUUGUCUGCUUACUGUCAUGGCCAUUGACAACUACAUUAGUUUGUGUAAAUAUCAAUAUUACAUAUGGAAGUAAUAAAUCAUUACGCACCUGAGGAAAUAAGGAAACUUGUCGAAGGUGAUCUUGCUUUCCCUUCCAUCCAUGACCUGUCGCCGUAGCUCAUGCUCAAUCUGCUCUUCUGUAAUUGCGUCCGGCCAGAGUUUCAGCCCCGUCCAUCGACACACUGUCUGUCCAGAAGCCAAACCAAGGCCAACCGAGACGCCCACCCCAACGAUCAAGGCAGACAACAAUAUGUGCUUCUGUUCCAUCACUUGAGGCCUCCACCAGGAAACUAUGCGCGCGGCUCCUCCAUCCAACCUUAACACACAAACAAACAGAAAACAAACAACAGUCGUGUAUACUCUUGCCCACUGAUCACACUAAAACAAGCAUACAACACAAACCCAUCAACCAAAGGCCUGUUAUCCAAUCAGAAAAUGAUUUCUUUCCUGAAAAACUUCAUCCCCAACACAUUUGUUUUCACACCAGAUAAGUGGCAUACUAUUACAACUCAACACACCCACCCUAGAAACAUGACCUCACAGACAUUCAUAAUUUCAUAUAUACCAAGAAGAAUUGAGACUCAACAAAAGACCCACCAACAAGCACGUUGAUGAAGAAACUUCUCACUAGAAAAGUGUAGAGGUUUGGACACAGAAAUGUAUGAAUCUCUGUUUGGACAGGUUUAUAACUGCGAAUGUGGCUGUGUUCUUUGUUCUUCCGGGGCUACUUAUAUAUAUAUUUUUUCAUUUUUGUUUUUUAGCAUGGUUUUGAAAGUGGGACAGAUCGGAUUAAGCGCCCUUUUCCCCUCUCCUGCAUGUCAGUGCACUCCUCCCAACGUUUGAAACUGCCAUUUUUUAUUUUAGGACAUGAUUUGUAAUAGUAAAUUUAGACUCUACUGAAAAUUUAAGCCAUGCCGACAUCAAAUAUUUGUAUAUAUGCCGACAUCAAAUAUUAAUAUAUGGAUAGAUAGUGUUGGUGUGAUCUUGUAAGUGCGGUUGGGCAGUGACCAGGUCGACACCGAAAUACAUGACGAGUGGAUAGCGUUAGGAUGUGUUUGAUUGCACGAAAGAACCAAAGAUCUUAAGUGCAUAUCAUUUUAGGAAAAAUUAAAAUACGAAUGACGACAAACCAUAACACAUCAAAGAAUUCAAAAUUCUAACCAUAGUAAGCUUUGAUUUAAGUAAUUUUUUUAGUUUUAGUCUCCUCUCUAGUGGGUAUUCUAACACGAUAAUGAAUGACAAAUGGAAAAUCCUCUCAAACAAUACUUUUGCCCUAUGCUUGAUUUUUGGAAAAUAGAAAAAAAAAAAAUUAAUUAUUUUUUACAUUUUUUUUAAUUUAGUUUAUUUAUUUUUCUUUUUUAUAUUAAAAUUAUAUAAUUUUAAAUUUUUAACUAAUUUUAAUUAUAUUUUAUUUUAUUUUUAUAUUUCACUGGAUAAAUCAAAUUUAAGAAUAUUAUUAUUAUUUUUCACACCAAAUGUAAUCUGAAUCAUUUGAUUUCAUAAUUGUAUCAUUUUUAUGGUGAAAAUAAUAGUUGUUCUAAUUUUUUAAACCCCCAACUCUCAUCUCUAGUGCAUUGAGAAUCACUUCUAAAAAUUUAAAUUGAGAGAAUCAUUUGAAAUGAUUCAUUUAGAAAAAAAGGAACAAAAGCCAUUGCUCCCCGGAGCCACUCACACCCCUCCGUAGGCCCACAGUCUGUCCAGAAGCAUACCGAAGCCCAAUCGAAACACCCACCACGCUCAACGCAGACAACAAAAAGUGCUUCGGUCCCAUCUCCCUUUAGGCCUCCACCAACAAACUACACACAAACAAACAGAAAAACGAAGCUCAAUCCCAAGAACCAAACACACAAACAAGCAGUGUUGAUGGCAGAAUGUGAUUGAAAACUCAGAGAAAUUUGGAAAAUACUGAGAAGGGUCUUCUGGGGUUCGAAUUUAGAGCCUACCCUUUUCGUAUGGUACGAGUUUGGACGCAGAAAUGGCAUCAAUCUCUGCCUCCUUCGCUCUUUCUUCUCUCACUUCUCUGUUCUUCGAGGGCUACUUAUAACGGUGCAUUGUUUUGUUUUGUUCUGCUUUGCUACUUUGUUUUGUUUUAUUAUUAUUAAGAUAUAUUUAAAAAUAUAGAAUGCAGUGUGGGGACAUUCCAAGCUCCAACUACGCUUGGAAAAAACUAUUUUUGAAAACAUUUUCCAAACAACCUCUCACUUUCUGCAAAUCCAUUGGCAUCUCCAAGUAGCAAACAUUUACAAAAACAUUACUAACAAAUACCCAGAAACUGGUGGCAGUUUGUUUAUAUUUUCUAGAAUGGCCUGUUAAUAAAUACUGACAACUCCCCUCUAAGAAUGAUAUACACAAGCAAAGGAACCAAUAUGAAGGAUUAUUCAAGCUUCUCUGGGUUGUCCAGAUUUCCUUGCCCAUCUCACUCUACAGCUUUCAAUUCAAUGUUGCAUGCCCAUAUCUAGCUGGUUUCAGGUGAAGGGCUUUCUGGCUUCCCAAACUUCCUAUAAGAUGUGCCCUAUAGAAAGUAGGUCAGCUGUUCCUUCUUCCUUGAGCCGCCUUCUCCAUACAAUUCAUUCCACUGCUUCAGCUUGUUCAUUGCCGCUCCAUCAGAAGCAAAACUAGCAGCAACCUGAUUCUUUGCCUGCCUCAUGUCUUCCAUGUUUAAGGGUCUCAGAACAAUUACCCUUUCCCCUUUGGCUUCUUCUCUGGUAUCCGAAGCAUCCUCUGAGCUUUUUCCUUCAUCAGCUUUCUGCUUCUUUUUCUGUGAAAAGAAAAAUCAGAAAAAACACCAUUGAUCUACUGUGGAAAACUUGUUGGAAAAAGCGAGAAGGAAGAAAACGAUACUUGGAAGAGUUAAGAGAGUUCUUACUUUAUCCUUCUUCAUUCUCUCUUGUUGUGCUAGCUCCCUUACAGGACGAUAAGCUGCUGCCAUGCACAAGUUCUGUUUCAAUUGUUAAUCCCAAGAGUCAACACAGCUGAUUCUUAAUCAAUUCAUCAUUGCCAUCAGAAGUACAAACCUUAAGAUCACUUCCAGUAUAACCUUCUGUCAUGGUUGCAAGCUCCUUAAAGUCAAGAUCCUCGGCUUGUUCUUUAGCCAAGAGAGUCUUCAGGAUCAUCUCUCUGCUCUCCACAGAUGGUAGACCAACCAUAAUUCUGUUCAUCACAGAUACCAUUAGUUUGCCUACUCAAAGCAUGGUGACACAUUCAUCUAUCUUUAAUAUAUCCUUCUCCAUAGCUUCAGAGUAAAACGAUGAAAAUGAUGCUGAGUGUAACACAAUAUGCAAAUCUACCUGUGGUCAAACCGCCUGAUAAUCGCCUCAUCAAGGUCAAAUGGCCUGUUGGUUGCAGCAAGAACGAGGACUCGUUCACCAGCUUUUGUCAGUAGUCCAUCCCAAUGUGUCAUGAAUUCAUUCUUAAUCUUUCGCAUACUACAAUCCUCUCCAAAUUCAAGUCGCUGCCCAAGCAUGCUAUCAA